GAUCCAGAUAUAUUGGCAGCUAAUGCAUCAUCUGCUGCUCUAAUGUUGUCAGAUAUUCCUUGGGGUGGGCCAAUUGGAGUAAUACGUAUUGGAAGGAUUUCAGGUCAAUUUGUUGUAAAUCCAAGCAUGGAGGAGCUUAGCAUCAGUGAUCUUAACUUGGUAUAUGCAUGUACGAGGGAUAAAACUUUGAUGAUAGAUGUCCAAGCUCGUGAAAUAUCUGAAAAGGAUUUGGAAGCUGCUUUGAGACUUGCUCAUCCAGAGGCUGUUAAGUAUCUU
RNAcentral lists this unclassified non-coding RNA (276 nucleotides) under Hevea brasiliensis (rubber tree). Lineage: Eukaryota; Viridiplantae; Streptophyta; Magnoliopsida; Malpighiales; Euphorbiaceae. The record is from RNAcentral.